UUUGGUGCAUGGUCUAAACUUGAAUUCUGGUUGGUAGGUUUGGUUACUUCUGGCAUGAUGGGGACUCAAACACAGGCACAGCAGGGAAGCCCCCUGGGCUGGGGCAGCUCUGGCCUCAGCCUCUCCUUGGCUCAUGCUACAUGUCUGUGAAAUGCAGGCUGCUGACUACAGCCAAAUUACCUACAAAACAAGGAGUCAGCCGAGAUAAAGAAUUGGAGAAAAUGGCUCUGGUUGUCUGAGGUGCUCUGCAAUAUUUGUCAUCUGUGGAUAAGCAGCAAUCAGCAAAACUCACAAUAAGCGUCCCUGGCAGGUCAGGUGCUGUACAUGGCCUUUGGCACCCUGGUUCAUCUGAAGGAUACAAGGAAGGAUCAGUAGAUGGGUGAAUCUCAGAUGAUGCUGAAAUGCUCCCAAGGAGUGAUAAAGCUGAUUCUGAAUUUCUGAGUUCCGUGGAGUUUAUCUCCUGGAAGGAGGGCAGACAGUCUGGAUUUAAUAUAC
This is a long non-coding RNA of Neopelma chrysocephalum (saffron-crested tyrant-manakin), 495 nucleotides long. RefSeq lists it as uncharacterized. NCBI's taxonomy places the organism in Eukaryota, Metazoa, Chordata, Aves, Passeriformes, Pipridae. The record is from RefSeq and is a predicted model, not a curated record. The transcript is spliced from 4 exons.